CUCGCAGGACGACACGGGAACCUUGGACACCUGGGACAGACAGGAAUAGAUGUCCUGACUGGACUGACAGGGAAACGGGGACAGCAGGAGGUCGGCACCGAUGGCUCCGCCCCCGUCCACCAACAGGUUGCCGUACAGAUGGCCAGACCUAUCGGGGCGCACCAACACCUGCAGGACAGCCACCUGGAUUCGGGACCAGCUGGAUCCCAUGUUCCAGAUCCAGGACCGCAUAAGACGAUGCUGGUUGGCAUGACAACGGCAUCCAGCGCAGGUCUGAGCGACGGAACGAGCAGCAGAGUGUGUGUGAUUAAAUAUUAACACGCCGAAUCAAAGCUGAGCGCUCAUUAACACACCCGCUACAUCGUUACCCACAAUCCACCUGGGACAACAAUAACCAAUCAGCAACUGAAGCCUGAGAGCCCGCCCCCAAGCUAAACACCUGUUCACCACACACACACACACACACACACACACAGACACACACUAAGAUUGGACAAGGGGGGCAGUAAGUAAGAGAGAGGGUGCGCUGCUCUCCAGAUGGAGAUCCCAGAUAUCUAUGUCUGUGUGUCUGUGUGUGUGUGUGUGUGUGUGUGUGUGUGUGUGUGUGUGUGUGUGUGUGUGUGUGUGUCUGCGUGUGUGUGUGUGUGUGUAAGGAUGAACACGGGUUUUCUGGACCUUCAGAACCGGCUCUCAGGAUUCUGGUCAGACUGUAUGAUUCAAUAAGGUUGUUGGACCUUUUGAGCUCGUCUCUCUGAGGAACCCAAGGAGUGGUUCUGAUCCAGGAAUCCCCCAGCA
This is a long non-coding RNA of Poeciliopsis prolifica (blackstripe livebearer), 795 nucleotides long. RefSeq lists it as uncharacterized. The record is from RefSeq and is a predicted model, not a curated record. NCBI's taxonomy places the organism in Eukaryota, Metazoa, Chordata, Actinopteri, Cyprinodontiformes, Poeciliidae. The transcript has 3 exons.